Molecule: ribosomal RNA, 1141 nt
Filed under: Klebsiella pneumoniae
Lineage: Bacteria; Pseudomonadati; Pseudomonadota; Gammaproteobacteria; Enterobacterales; Enterobacteriaceae
Description: bacterial SSU rRNA
Rfam family: Bacterial small subunit ribosomal RNA
Source: RNAcentral
AAAUUGAAGAGUUUGAUCAUGGCUCAGAUUGAACGCUGGCGGCAGGCCUAACACAUGCAAGUCGAGCGGUAGCACAGAGAGCUUGCUCUCGGGUGACGAGCGGCGGACGGGUGAGUAAUGUCUGGGAAACUGCCUGAUGGAGGGGGAUAACUACUGGAAACGGUAGCUAAUACCGCAUAACGUCGCAAGACCAAAGUGGGGGACCUUCGGGCCUCAUGCCAUCAGAUGUGCCCAGAUGGGAUUAGCUAGUAGGUGGGGUAACGGCUCACCUAGGCGACGAUCCCUAGCUGGUCUGAGAGGAUGACCAGCCACACUGGAACUGAGACACGGUCCAGACUCCUACGGGAGGCAGCAGUGGGGAAUAUUGCACAAUGGGCGCAAGCCUGAUGCAGCCAUGCCGCGUGUGUGAAGAAGGCCUUCGGGUUGUAAAGCACUUUCAGCGGGGAGGAAGGCGAUAAGGUUAAUAACCUUGUCGAUUGACGUUACCCGCAGAAGAAGCACCGGCUAACUCCGUGCCAGCAGCCGCGGUAAUACGGAGGGUGCAAGCGUUAAUCGGAAUUACUGGGCGUAAAGCGCACGCAGGCGGUCUGUCAAGUCGGAUGUGAAAUCCCCGGGCUCAACCUGGGAACUGCAUUCGAAACUGGCAGGCUAGAGUCUUGUAGAGGGGGGUAGAAUUCCAGGUGUAGCGGUGAAAUGCGUAGAGAUCUGGAGGAAUACCGGUGGCGAAGGCGGCCCCCUGGACAAAGACUGACGCUCAGGUGCGAAAGCGUGGGGAGCAAACAGGAUUAGAUACCCUGGUAGUCCACGCCGUAAACGAUGUCGAUUUGGAGGUUGUGCCCUUGAGGCGUGGCUUCCGGAGCUAACGCGUUAAAUCGACCGCCUGGGGAGUACGGCCGCAAGGUUAAAACUCAAAUGAAUUGACGGGGGCCCGCACAAGCGGUGGAGCAUGUGGUUUAAUUCGAUGCAACGCGAAGAACCUUACCUGGUCUUGACAUCCACAGAACUUUCCAGAGAUGGAUUGGUGCCUUCGGGAACUGUGAGACAGGUGCUGCAUGGCUGUCGUCAGCUCGUGUUGUGAAAUGUUGGGUUAAGUCCCGCAACGAGCGCAACCCUUAUCCUUUGUUGCCAGCGGUUCGGGAAC